CAAAAGCGUGGUAUGGUCCAGAGGACGAUUGCUGGAUCCUGAAAUAGCAAAUGGCAUCCUGGAUCAUGUGUCUGAAUUUCUGGAUGCUUUGGAAACAUUGCCCCAACAGGACGUUCUCCAGGCUUAUAGUGCUCCACUGCAAAGGGGUUCAUCUGGUCGUCCACAAUUAUCUAUCACACGAGCAGUUGCAGUUUCUGCUAAAAUAUAAUUUUUGGACAAAACAAAUGAAAUCUUGGGAGUCUCCAAACGAACUGUGAAGCGGCAUUUAAGAAGGACAGAUAUAUGAGAGGAACAUGUCAAUCUCAUUGCUGACGACUACACCGGCUGGAUGAAUGUCUUCAGGUGUGUAGUGACAUGAAGUCAUCUGCCAGACAUCAAAGUAGACCACUCCCUUAACAUCUCUGAACAUCUCUCUCAAUACGGUGUUUAACUGCAUCCUGUGCCAGUCAUUUCCUAAUUCAUUCUGUAACAAAACAAACUCUAGUUACAAAAAAGUGCUAGAAUGAAGCAAAGUAUAAGUGUUAAGGUCAUUUGACGGCAAUUACGCCAAAAAACAAGAAUUUGCGACUAAUGAACCUACACUGAAAAAGAAGAUUGGACACCGGUUCCAAAUGAUUGAGUUUUCUUAAAAUGUUAUUAAUUAACGUUAAUUUCAUUUUGAGAAAUAUUGAUUCAAUCAUGUUGAACUGGUGUCUAUCAUUGAAUUACAUAGAUCCAGCAAGUUUUAUUUCAUUUUAAGAAAACCUUAAUUUAAUCAUGUCAAACCAAUGUGUUUUUUACAGUGUACAUCAACAUCUAUCGGCUCUCCUGAUUUUGCCAAGUGGUUGAUGUCCUCAGGGCAACAUUAUGUUGACCCUGGGACAACAUUUCAAUCAACCAAUCAGAUUUCAGAAAUAAGUUUACAGU
This is a non-coding RNA of Paramisgurnus dabryanus, 906 nucleotides long. NCBI's taxonomy places the organism in Eukaryota, Metazoa, Chordata, Actinopteri, Cypriniformes, Cobitidae. The record is from RefSeq and is a predicted model, not a curated record.